AGGAGCUGGGAGCGUUCGCCACUGACUGGGGCUGUGUGGAAGCAUUUUUCCUGGGGUGGUUCUGCCUUCAGCACUAUCCUCUCCAGCAGCAGACAUCCGCUUCUUUUCAGUGUCAAAGGCCUCAAUCUGGGGAAAUCUAAGGGUCUGGGGACUUCUGCGUGAUGAAGAAACCAAGGAGCCACCCUCCAUCACGCACAGAUGUCGCUUCUCCAACGCCGUUACUGAAUUAUUUUCUAGGCGUUAGUAAAGAGUGAUGGCCAUGUGUCCUGCGCGGGAUUCAGGAAAACACAUGUGUUUUUUCCUCAGAAGGGGUCUGAGCUGAGCACUGCCUUCCCCAGCUACUCUUCCUCCAGUCCCAGGCUCCGGCUGUUUUCGGUUGCCACAAGGAGGGGAGGAGUGCAAGGUUUGAUGACAUCACUGUCCACACUUGGGGAGCCUCUGGAGGCGGAGGGUGACUACAAAGAAAGCGAGAUGGGGCUGGUUGUGGCGAGCAGCGAACACGCAGAGCGUGCGCACGCACACGGCCGAGCCUCGGAACCCUCAAAGUUGUCCUGAUGGAUUAAGCAGAGACAAGUUGUAUCAAGUAAAUUAAAAAUGAAAUAGUUACAGCUGUUGGAACGGUCUCAGGGCCAGAAGAGGUAAAAGAGUUUCUACCCUCAAGGGGCCUGGAAAUAAUCUGUGAAGCACCAACUGCUUAAAUAAAGACAGCUUGAGUGAGGGCUGGCGUCCUGGAGGAAAGGGAGAGCAUCCAACGCCGCUGGGCUUGAGCGUGGUUUAAGGGAAACCAAGGAGGAUCUGCCCGCCAAGCCCUCCUUGCUCCAAGUGUCCCCAGACCCCGGGUCCCAUGGCCAGGAGGGGACAGUGGGAGGACAGUGAAGAAGGCAUUUUGGGACAAGCAGUCACAGGGAUUUUGUUUCUGUUAUGGGGACUCUCUGUCGUAUGUCAUUGAACCAUGGGGGUUAAAGCUGGAGGUUGCCUCGUGGUUUCCCAGGUUUCCUGGGAGCCCCGCAGAGCCAAGGAGCAAGAAACCUGCCCUUCGUCCUGCCAAGCAUCUCCCAGACAGACAAAACUGUGGGGCGCUUCUUCACAGGUGGCGGUGCUGAGCCUGACUCGGGUGAAGAUGCCAAAUUCUGCUCAGCCCCAUCUUCCUCUCUUUUGGCAAACUGCUUUGCUCUUCGGACACCUUCUCCCUCCCCAGCUCUCUGCUUUUUAUAUUCUCUCUGUGCUAAUGUCUGUCUUACCCUGGUUUUUGGUCUUGGGGUGGUUUUUUUUAGGGUAGCAUCAAGCCAAACAGGGCAAUUGAAUGCAGCGGGGGCUGUAGCAGUUGCAGUAACACAAGGACCCAGCGCUAAAUGCCGCGGCACAGGGACGGCAGCGUCUCAUCCAAGGAGCUGGUCCUGUGUGAUUCAGCUACCCGCAAAAGCACAGUCUCUCCCUGUUGACAGUAAAUCAAACACAGGCAAAAACAUUCAUAAUUUACCUUUUGUGAAUUUGAAAGCUGUAUGGAAAGACCCUUUUUAGUCAAAUAAAAGCACUCCAGAGUGCCUCGCUGCGGCGGGCGCUGCUGAGCUUCCCCGGACACGUGCAUUCGCAAGGAAGAUGUUGGGCCAGUCCCAGAGUUAAUGGAGCAGAGACAACAGGGAUGGCUGGGAAUAACAUGUGGAGGCAUUUUUCAUCCCAACUCAUCUUCAAACAGCGCCCAUGAGGAGUCUCUGCCGCGCACACAGCGAUGAGCUGCUGCUCCCAGCACCGGCAGCAAGUUCUGCCUCUGAGUUACCGUCUUCAGACAAUGUUUAAGGUGGAAUUGGUCUCUGCAGAAGAGAGGAGCAGCUGCCUGAAGGCCACGGUGCCGCAUUCCCCUUACCCCAGCAGCAUCGGGGGAGGAAGAGGAGGAGGAGGAGGAGGAGGAGGAGGACACCUCUCCAGCAGCAGAAUCUGUGCAACUUAACAUUUCGCAGCGAUAAAACUUUCAAUAGCUGGAAGUAAAUCCUUCAGCUUUCUGCUCGAGCUCAGCCUCUGCAGCUGCAAAUUUAUUCGGCAGGCAGCGAAUUGGGCCAAAAGAAGUAAAUAUGAGUGAUGUGACUGAUGGUGCUAGAACAUGACGCAAGCUCCCACACGGCUGCGGCGGAGGGCAAUUCCCCGGCUGCUAAUUCCCUGCUGGAGACCUCCGACCAGAAGCUGGAGCGGUCCUUCCCGAGAUGCCGGCAGGAAGGAGAGGGUGUUUCUGGAGGUGGAUCUGCAGAGCCCAGCUCUGGAGCAGCAGCUCUGGGACACGAGGCUGCUCCUGUGCCCUGGAGAGAUGCAAGCGGGGACGAUCCCCUCUCGCUGUUCCCUUUAUUGUGCCACACACCCCCUUCUCGCACGCGUAUAAAUAGUAGGAGGCCACUGUGACUACUGGAGCUGAGCUUUUAGCAGUGAUUAAGGACUAGCCAGCACAUGGCACAGCACCGCAGAGGUCCUAUUAAUUGCGAGACUCCCAGAGCAGAGCGCACUGCUGGCAGGGCUACAAGGAUGCUGAGGGGACUGGAACACUUCUCAUGAAGAAAGGCUGAGGGACUUGGGUCUUUUCAGUCUGGAGAAGAGAAGA
Long non-coding RNA from Chroicocephalus ridibundus (black-headed gull), 2587 nucleotides. RefSeq lists it as uncharacterized. Lineage: Eukaryota; Metazoa; Chordata; Aves; Charadriiformes; Laridae. The record is from RefSeq and is a predicted model, not a curated record. The transcript has 6 exons.